This 300-nucleotide ribosomal RNA is filed under the name uncultured Tissierella sp. Its description in RNAcentral is "bacterial SSU rRNA". It matches the Rfam family "Bacterial small subunit ribosomal RNA", at positions 495 to 795 of the family's 1533-position model. The record is from RNAcentral. Lineage: Bacteria; Bacillati; Bacillota; Tissierellia; Tissierellales; Tissierellaceae.
GGCUAACUACGUGCCAGCAGCCGCGGUAAUACGUAGGGGGCGAGCGUUGUCCGGAAUUAUUGGGCGUAAAGGGUUCGCAGGCGGUUCCUUAAGUCAGAUGUUAAAUGCAUAGGCUCAACCUAUGAGUGCAUUUGAAACUGGGGAACUUGAGUUAAGGAGAGGAAAGUGGAAUUCCUAGUGUAGCGGUGAAAUGCGUAGAUAUUAGGAGGAAUACCAGUGGCGAAGGCGACUUUCUGGACUUAAACUGACGCUGAGGAACGAAAGCAUGGGGAGCAAACAGGAUUAGAUACCCUGGUAGUC